RNAcentral lists this long non-coding RNA (1931 nucleotides) under Callithrix jacchus (white-tufted-ear marmoset). Its description in RNAcentral is "lncRNA (ENSCJAG00000064795.2)". The record is from RNAcentral. Lineage: Eukaryota; Metazoa; Chordata; Mammalia; Primates; Cebidae.
AUGGAGGAAGACACAUGCUCUGAUAGAGAUGGCCAGAGGGUGCUGGGGAGCCAGGGGGAGAAGCCCGACUCAGCUUUGGGGCCUCAGGAAAGAAUUUCCAAAACUGUUGGUUUUCUAGACAAGCUCCCGUUACCUCCCAUCCCAAAGGCUGGAGUCCAAUGGCACGAUUGUGGCUCACUGCAACUUCUGCCUCCCAAGUUCAAGUGAUUCUCUUGGUCAGUCUCCCUAGUAGCUGAGAUUACAGGCACUGACCACCAUACCCAGCUAAUUUUUGUAUUUUCAGUAGAGAUAGGCUUUCACCGUGUUGGCCAGGCUGGUCUUAAACUCCUGACUUCAGAUGAUCCACUUGCCUUGGCCUCCCAAAGUGCUGGGAUUACAGGUGUGAGCCACUGCUCUGGACCUAUUUGUAUGAAUGUAUGGGGAACAAGUGUAAUUUUGUUACAUGCAUAGAUAGCACAGUGGUGAAAUCAGGGCUUUUAGUGUAUUCAUCACCCAAAUAAUGUACAUUGUACCCAGAAAGUAAUUUCUCAUCAUCCAUUUCCCUCCCACCCCUCACCCUUCUGAGUCUCCAAAGCCUAUCAUUCCACUCUCUACAUCUUCGUGCUCCCAUUGUGAAUAGUGCUGCGAUAAAGAUAAACAUACAAGUUCUGGUACCUUUCUGACAUACUGACUUUUUUCCCUUGGGUAGUGCAUGCACCUGCCAGUGGGAGACCUCUGCGCAAUAUUGGUCAGUCCAGCUCCGUCUAGGUUUGCCCCCGACCUCCAAGACACAGCAUGGAUCCAGGCUCCUGGGGGUCUCAUGUCCCAUAACCUUUAUACAUUUCUAUUCUAUUUUAAAUGUAGAGUAUGAAGAAACAAGCUGUACAAGAGAAUAUUCACAAAAAUAUAAAUACAUACAUUCACCAAAUGCUUGUAGAUCAUUGAUUUAGACUGUAAGCGUCCACCAUAAGGGAGGCAGCUCAUCUGUGCAGGCAGCUCCUCUUGCCCUGUUCAGCUGGCUUUUGCUUGCCUCUCCUUGACACCAGACCUCUGGUGUGUGCAUAUUCUGACUGCAGCCACGCUAGCAAUGGAACAAGGGGACAAAAACAAUGUUUAAUUAAGUACAUUGUGACAGUCCAGAAGAACAUUUCUACUUUCUGACUGAAAUCCCACACAGGAAUGAAAGCGACAGAAAACUCUACCCCUCCCUGCAUGUGGCCAGCCCCUGUGGACCCUGGUGACAGGCACUCUGCUCACCUUCUGCUCGGAAGUUUUGCCAAGCCCAUGAUGGUUUUAUGAAAUCCUUUCUUUGAUUUGGCUCCUGGCAGUUUGCAGUUUGAAGUCAUACCUUGUCCUGGAUGGAAACCACGUAAAACUAUUACAUUCUAUAUUGUUCCCAUCCUAGACUGUGAACUCAUUGGGCUCCGUCCAACCCAAACCUCAGCACUGAUUUCCUCAAUAUUUGGCCCACAUUUAUAAACCUCAAAGAACCUCCCAGCAAACCUGGCUUGAAUCUAAAGUCUCUUUACCCGCAUUUACACAGGCCUGCUUUUAAACCAGUAAGCCUGCAAUAGACUGCCCUAGAACUUCAUAGCUUCCUUCCAGCCAUGUUAUAUAUAACUUCAGUAUAAUUUGUUUAAAAAAAGCACAAGAAAGAUUAUUUGGAGAUUCAAAUUAAGUGUAAUAGAACUGUAAUGAUUCUGGCAAUCAUUUUAGAAGCUGCAAUAACUAAUCAUUGUAGAUCUAACUAUAUAUACUGGCAGACACAUGGAGAAUAUUAACAGAAUCUUCCCACAGGGCUGCUUUUAGAGCUUAGCACUGCAAUUUGUUGAACAGUCUCCAUCACUUUCUGUACAAAACCCCAUGGUUCCUUUCUAAAUAAGUACUCAAAUGCUUCCUAUAUAUUGCAUUUGUAAAAAAAUACAUACAUGUAUGCGACAUCCUAAAUGGGA